GACGAACGCUGGCGGCGUGCUUAACACAUGCAAGUCGAACGGAAAGGCCCUGCUUGCAGGGUACUCGAGUGGCGAACGGGUGAGUAACACGUGGGUGAUCUGCCCUGCACUUCGGGAUAAGCCUGGGAAACUGGGUCUAAUACCGGAUAUGACCUUCCAUGUAGUGUGGGGGGUGGAAAGAUUUAGCGGUGUGGGCUGAGCCCGCGGCCUAUCAGCUUGUUGGUGGGGUAAUGGCCUACCAAGGCGUCGACGGGUAGCCGGCCUGAGAGGGUGGACGGCCACAUUGGGACUGAGAUACGGCCCAGACUCCUACGGGAGGCAGCAGUGGGGAAUAUUGCACAAUGGGCGGAAGCCUGAUGCAGCGACGCCGCGUGGGGGAUGACGGCCUUCGGGUUGUAAACCUCUUUCGACAGGGACGAAGCUUCGGUGACGGUACCUGUAUAAGAAGCACCGGCUAACUACGUG
RNAcentral lists this ribosomal RNA (465 nucleotides) under uncultured bacterium. RNAcentral describes it as "partial 16S ribosomal RNA". It matches the Rfam family "Bacterial small subunit ribosomal RNA", at positions 28 to 507 of the family's 1533-position model. The record is from RNAcentral.